Molecule: long non-coding RNA, 738 nt
Organism: Solea solea (common sole)
Lineage: Eukaryota; Metazoa; Chordata; Actinopteri; Pleuronectiformes; Soleidae
Exons: 7
Source: RefSeq, a predicted model, not a curated record
GACGGUGGCGCUAAUGCACCGUAACGCUGGAUACCAACCAACCGCCGUAAAACAAGAAGAACAACCCUCGCGAGAUAUAACACGAGUUUGAGUCCACGCUCCGGUCAAAUGAUACAAACCGUGGGAGAGUGACGACGCAGCUUCAGAUGUACCGCGAGACCACGAGUGUGGCGGGAAAACAACACUGAUUGACCUCAGGGACUCAAAGUGACCACACGGGGCACCAGAGGACCAUACGUCUGUAACGCAUAGAUAAAGACGCGGAGCUAGAACCGUGGACAGGUGAGACCCUCAGAGUCCUCACUGAGCCACUGAAGAGGAUGUUGUGAUGUCAUCGGUGACAUCAGAAGAUUGACCUCAGUGACUGAAAGUGACCACACGGGGCACCAGAGGACCAUACGUCUGUAACGCAUAGAUAAAGACGCGGAGCUAGAACCGUGGACAGGUGAGACCCUCAGGUGCGUCUCAGCUGGAUAUAGUCUGUUCACAGAUGGAAGGGGCCGUGACAUAACCGGACUGAAGCGCAUUCUGAUCCAGGGUCAGAUCUGUGUUCUUCAGUGGAGGCUCCACCUUUUCACUAACGCUGCUUUCUGAUUGGUCCUCGCAGAGUCCUCACUGAGCCACUGAAGAGGAUGUUGUGAUGUCAUCGGUGACAUCAGAAGGGAUGAAGUAACGGCGCUCUCUGCUGACUCACUGAUGUAACAACAAGUGUCAAAAUAAAUGCGUUGAUCACAAACA